GAUCCUGGCUCAGAGUGAACGCUGGCGGCGUGCCUAAUACAUGCAAGUCGAACGGACAAGUAAGAGCUUGCUCUUAUGAGUUAGUGGCGCACGGGUGAGUAAUGUAUAGCUAAUCUGCCCUACACUAGAGGACAACAGUUGGAAACGACUGCUAAUACUCUAUACUCCUCUCUAACAUAAGUUAGAUAGGGAAAGUUUUUUCGGUGUAGGAUGAGGCUAUAUUGUAUCAG
Molecule: ribosomal RNA, 230 nt
Filed under: uncultured bacterium
Lineage: Bacteria
Description: partial 16S ribosomal RNA
Rfam family: Bacterial small subunit ribosomal RNA
Source: RNAcentral